AUGGGCUGGAGCUCUGGUCUGGUGGGGAGUGCUGGGGGUGCUGGGGAGAACAGGAAGGGGAGGGGGUGUGGGAGGAAGCCCUCCUAUCUGUCUUUUAUUAAUAGUUGCUUGUCCGUUUACCCUCUGGUUUCUCAUCACUCCAGCCAGCAGAGACCAGCUCAGGACGAAGCCUGGGCAGUAGCCUGGGAGGAACUGGGCUUCGGAACCACAGGGGCCCAGGUGCGCCAGGGAAGCGCAGAGGUCCCAGCGUGUGGGCAGGAAGCUCAAGUGACAGCUCCAGUAGACCCUGGCGGGGGCAAGGGCACAGCACAAAUGGCUACAUAUGUGAACAAAGUGCGCGGUGGGGCACGGUGGUUGCGGAGCCUGAGCACACCAAGGAGUGCAUCAGACUUCAAGGGUCAAACUGCAAGGAGGCAGCUUUUGAUUUUGGGGGCAACGAACUAGGACUUGAUGGGCCGAAAGGAAGUGUCUAAACAGCAAGCUGCUUACCGCAAUCUCCAUCAGAAGUUGUGGGACGGAUAGCGGUCUGGGGUUUGUGUGCUGCGCACAGUACCCUCAUCACCACACAAGGGAAGCUGUGGAUUUGGGGUCAGAAUGAGAAGGAGCAGCUGGGACCCGGCGACACCAAGAGAAUGGAGGCCCCCAGAGUCACUGAGGGUCUCUACCAGGAAGUGAGUGUGUAGGCAGCUUGCGGGCGGAACCUCACCUUGGCCUUGAUGGAAACUGGCUCUGCGUUUGCAUUUGGGGAGAACAAGAUGGGGCAGCUGAGCCUCCGCAGCCACACAGAAGCAACCCCAGCCCCGAGCAGAUCAUGGACAACGGGCAGCCAAUUACCAGAAUGGCCAGUAGAAAUGAAUUCAGUACAAUGGGUGGCAAAGAAAACCUACUCGAUAUGCUCAGCUUGGACCCAGGCACAGGGAAUAGUGUAAGACUGCAAGCUGGUGGCGGUGCCCGGGCGAGUGGCCCACUUUCACUGAGAAUGAAAGAUGGGCAGAUGCUGCCUGUACCAAAGGUGGUUGUGUUUGUGAACGAUGUGGCCUGUGAUGCUAACCACACAUUGAUUCUGGACUCUGAGUAAUGAGUCUUCUCCUGGGGCUUUGGUGGCUAUGGUUGGCUGGGCCACUCAGAACAGAAGGAUGAGAUGGUCCCCACUUGGUGAAGUUAGAGUUUGACUUCCUUGGGUAUGAGGUAUCCCAGAUCCAUGUUGGUUACGCCUGAUCCUUUGCUGUCUGUGAAAUUGGUGUCUCGUUUUCUGGGAAGCCCAAUAUCUCCCAUGAAUCCACCAUGUACCUGAAAGCAGUGCAGGACCUCUGUGGCUGAAGAAUCCAGAGCCUGGCUUUUGGGAAGAGUAGCAGCAUUGUGGCCGCCGAUGAGGGCACCAUCAGCUGGGUGCCAUCAUCAACCUUUAGGUAAUUGGGCUACAGGGGCCACGAGCCCAAGUCUUCCACUGCAGCCCAAGAGGUGAAGACUCUGGAUGGCAUCUUUUCAAAGCAGGUCGCCAUAGGCUACUCCUUGGUGAUAGCGAGAGAUGAUAGUGAGACCAAGAAAGAGAAGAUCAAGAAACUGCUAGGCUACAACCCCUGGACCCUUUGAUGCUCCUGAGGAAUCCUGCAACUCCACACGUCUCCCAGAAGCUGUCAUUUCCCUGUACACUGAAAGGUAAAGUUGAACAAGGAAUUUCAAAAAGCAAAUGUUGGUCAAAGAUGCAUUUUCAUUAGACUCCCUGAGGUUCCGUUUUCACAAGAGAACCAAUGUUAAUUAUCCUUUUCUGUAUACUUUUUAAAGUCGGUUUUUUUCUCUCUUCAUGUUUAAUUAAA
This is an RNA transcript of Sapajus apella (tufted capuchin), 1817 nucleotides long. It is a transcript of the gene named protein RCC2 pseudogene, with no coding region annotated. Lineage: Eukaryota; Metazoa; Chordata; Mammalia; Primates; Cebidae. The transcript is spliced from 2 exons. The record is from RefSeq and is a predicted model, not a curated record.